RNAcentral lists this unclassified non-coding RNA (348 nucleotides) under soil metagenome. RNAcentral's name for it is "partial contains 5.8S ribosomal RNA, internal transcribed spacer 2, and large subunit ribosomal RNA". The stretch from base 1 to 120 matches the Rfam family "5.8S ribosomal RNA", at positions 35 to 154 of the family's 154-position model. The record is from RNAcentral.
GAUGAAGAACGUAGCGAAAUGCGAUAAGUAGUGUGAAUUGCAGAAUUCAGUGAAUCAUCGAAUCUUUGAACGCACAUUGCGCCCGCCAGUAUUCUGGCGGGCAUGCCUGUCUGAGCGUCAUUUCAACCCUCAUGCCCCUAGGGCGUGGUGUUGGGGAUCGGCCAAAGCCCGCGAGGGACGGCCGACCCCUAAAUCUAGUGGCGGACCCGUCGUGGCCUCCUCUGCGAAGUAGUGAUAUUCCGCAUCGGAGAGCGAUGAGCCCCUGCCGUUAAACCCCCAACUUUCCAAGGUUGACCUCAGAUCAGGUAGGAAUACCCGCUGAACUUAAGCAUAUCAAUAAGCGGAGGA